UCCCGUUUAGCUCAGUUGGUAGAGCGCGUCACUAGUACCUCUACAAGGGCAAUGACGAGGUCAGUCGUUCGAGUCGGCUAAUGGGAA
Non-coding RNA from Trametes polyzona, 87 nucleotides. The record is from the annotation of a GenBank genome assembly. NCBI's taxonomy places the organism in Eukaryota, Fungi, Basidiomycota, Agaricomycetes, Polyporales, Polyporaceae.